RNAcentral lists this ribosomal RNA (231 nucleotides) under uncultured bacterium. RNAcentral's name for it is "partial 16S ribosomal RNA". It matches the Rfam family "Bacterial small subunit ribosomal RNA", at positions 89 to 334 of the family's 1533-position model. The record is from RNAcentral.
AGUAAAGUGGCGGCCGGGUGAGUAACACGUGACUAACCUACCUUCGAGUGGGGGAUAACCUCGGGAAACCGAGGCUAAUACCGCAUAACAUCGCAAGAUCAAAGCAGCAAUGCGCUGGAAGAGGGGGUCGCGGCUGAUUAGCCAGUUGGCGGGGUAACGGCCCACCAAAGCGAAGAUCGGUAGCCGGCCUGAGAGGGCGCACGGCCACACUGGAACUGAAACACGGUCCAG